This 72-nucleotide transfer RNA is filed under the name Euapta godeffroyi. RNAcentral's name for it is "tRNA-Thr". Lineage: Eukaryota; Metazoa; Echinodermata; Holothuroidea; Apodida; Synaptidae. The record is from RNAcentral.
GCCCUAAAAGUUCGACACAGAAUAUCUGGCUUUGUAACCCAGAAGGGGAAUUAACGAAGAUUCAUUAGGGCU